GAGGAGGUCAUUUAGCCAUUUGAAUCAGCUGUGUUGGAUCAAGGACGCAUCUAAAACCUGCAGGACUCCGGCCCUCGAGGCCUGGAGUUCGACUCCUGUGUCCUAUAGGCUUAUUGGUGCAGCCCUCCACAAUGGUCUUGUCAUGAUCUGGCGUGUUUCCACAGUGUGGAAGUCGAAGUAAUCGGUACCCUGUACUCUGCAGGUGAAGAUGCCUGUGCGCGUGUCAGGAUGACCAUUUGUGUUGACCACAGCUUUUUGGUGAGAGAUGUUGGACAUGAAGCUAACAUCAGGGUAAUGGAUGGUGCGUUGUUGCUCAUUGACUCAACACAACAGACACGUAGGAUACCACACUGGACCUUUACAACCUGGUUCACAAUACAACUGACGUGAGCAUUAUUUGGUUUAACCAGUUUUUUAUUGCUGCUUUUGUUACACAGGUCACAGAGACCCAGAGAGCCUGUUUCUCAUGCUUCCUGUGUAUUUUCUAAGCAUCUGGCUUCUGGUUUGCAACCAGUUGGUUGUUGAGUUGGUUCAAAUAUUUAAGAAAGCAUGCUCACACAGAUAAUCCUGAGCUCUGAGAUAUUAUCUUUAGUAAAGCACAAUUGUUCUUGUGAAUAAGUGUUAAUUCCAAUUCUUUUUGUAAGUUGCUGCAGAGUCAUUUUGGUGUCCUCAUGCUUUCUGUUUCACUUUUCACUUCACUCUUUCAUAGAAUUAUGAUCUUCAACUAAACUAUACAUCUAUAACAAUACACAAAAUUCAU
This is a long non-coding RNA of Haplochromis burtoni (Burton's mouthbrooder), 760 nucleotides long. RefSeq lists it as uncharacterized. NCBI's taxonomy places the organism in Eukaryota, Metazoa, Chordata, Actinopteri, Cichliformes, Cichlidae. The record is from RefSeq and is a predicted model, not a curated record. The transcript is spliced from 4 exons.